GGGGCUCCCAUCCCUCUCCUCCCCUCACACUACACUGUUUUUUUUAUCUGCGCACAGCAAAGUGAAGAACCAAAAAAAGGCCAUUUUUAAUUUUUUUAUUUUAUUUUUAUUCCAAAUCGAAGCGUAAAUCUUCUUCGCAAAGAUCAAGCUGUAAAUAUCCGGCAAGCGAGUUUUCGAAGAAAUCCGGUGUCCGCUGAAACGUUUUUUUGCGAUUUGGGUUUACAGUAUCCGGCAAGCGAGUUUUCGAAGAAAUCCGGUGUCCGCUGAAACGAUGGGCCUCAAGCUUCAAGUUCAACGACUGAAUCAUCCUUCGAUUGAAUAAAUAUUUAAUUGAAUUGUCAUGGUGGGGAUUGGCAUGAAUUUCUUUGAAAAUGUUGGUUGAAAUGGGUUGUCUUGGUUAAUUGAAUUUUGAUGAAUUUUUUUUGGUUGAUUGAAAUGAACCUCAAGCUUAAGUUCAACCAUCUUGGUUUUUUUUGUUGCUUGUAAGUUUAUGAACUUGUUUGUGUUUUAUCCUAAUUCUAUGUUGUGUAUAAGACUACAAGUGAAGUAAUGAUUUUGUUGUAAUUUUAUCA
Molecule: non-coding RNA, 572 nt
Organism: Corylus avellana
Lineage: Eukaryota; Viridiplantae; Streptophyta; Magnoliopsida; Fagales; Betulaceae
Source: RefSeq, a predicted model, not a curated record